This 653-nucleotide long non-coding RNA is filed under the name Homo sapiens (human). RNAcentral's name for it is "HSALNT0328899". The record is from RNAcentral. Lineage: Eukaryota; Metazoa; Chordata; Mammalia; Primates; Hominidae.
UGUCGCGGGUUUAUAUACCCUUUGGGCACUUAACCGACUGUGCCAGCCCAGUCCCAUACCUGUCAAGAAAAUUCAUUGUCUUACAUCGUCCUUAAAUUUUAUUCGUGUUAUAGUCAAUAUAUACAUAUUUUUACCUAAUAUACAUCCGCUUUCUAGGUUUCUACUUAGCGCUGCUGAGACUGAGUCUAAAUGAAAAAACAUUAUCAAUGGAUUCUAACAAUAAAUCAUAUUUUAGAUUUUUAAAGAAAAAAACCCAGCUUGCUCCACAGAACCAGAUAUCAGAGGCAGGAAUGCCACAGUUACAUUCCUAGGACUUGGUCAAUGAGAAGACAGAUUCCAAAAAUACAGUGCUGGGAAGUUGGAAAAAAGCCACAGAUGACGCUUCCAGUCAAGACAACCUGUGGCAACUGAGCUGAUUUCUGUAGGUAGAAGGCUAUAAUGACCCAAUGGGCCACCAGUUUGAUAUUUGAUUCUGAACAAUUUAUUCACCAAGAAUGGCUGCCUGAAUGAGAGGCACAAAACCAUUAUCCUUUUGGCUGCAAUGGAAUGAGAGUCCUGUUGAGAAAAUGGAAGUGGUACCCAGAGUGAAAAGAGAUUAGAACAAGAUAGACUGAACACAUAUGCCUACCUCUCCAAAUCCUUUCAAUUAACAG